GGGGGGGGGGGGGGGGACUGUCUUUGACAAAAGUUUUAAGAAGCUAGCUAAGAGUAAAGGGCUUGAGGUUCGAGGAUUUUAUCAUUCCCUAUAUCCCCUUCUACUGUCAAGCCAUUUCCUUGGAAAAUGGGUUAAGAUUUUAUCUAUAGGUAAUCAUAGGAAGCAGAGAAUUAUUGUGAUAGACCGGUGUUGUAUGUGCAAACAAUGUGUGGAAUCAGUAGAUCACCUUCUUCUUCAUUGCCUUAUAGCUUAUGAGCUGUGGAUAAUGGUGUUUAGCUUGUUGGCAAGGUCGAUUUGGUCGGCCAUCGUAAUGGAGAUAUAUGGAUGGUUGUUCCUCAUUAUUUGAUGUGGUGUAUUUGAAAGGAAAGAAAUAGUAGGUGUUUUGAAGACAAUGAGCGUUCUAUGCCUGAUCUCAAGCUUCUAUUUUUCAAAAUUUUAUUGGACUGGUUCUUAGUGUGGAGAAACCAACCUUUUUCUUCAAUUUUGGAUUUACUUGAUUUGUGUAAUUUUUGUAUUUGAUAUGUACACCCCUGUGUACUUGGGUGUCUCUCUUUUUUUAUAUUAAUAAAUCUUUAUUACUUAUCAAAAUAAAUAAUGGUGUUUAGCUUGUUUGGUAUCCAUUGGGUUAUGCCACAAAGGGUCGUUGAGCUGUUUGCUUAAUGGCUGGGCAAUAUAGUUAUUUGGAGGUUUGUGCGUUGUGCCGCAUUGCAUAAUGUGGUGUAUAUGGCUGGAACGGAAUGCUAUUAGUUUUGAGAACUGUGAACGUUCUAUUCUUGAGAUUAAGUCUUUUUUUCUUUCAUUCUUUGCUCAAGUGGAGCUUAGCUUUACAUAUUUAUGUUCUUCUCUUCCUGUUUUGAUUGACCAUUGUAAUUUGGGAUCUUGAUUGUAUUGCACCCAUAGUACAUUCCUUGUGUACUUGGGGCUGUUCUUGUUUUCAAAAAAAGAAGAAAAGAAAAAAAAGAAAAGAGCUCUUUGAUAUGACUUGGAGGGAUUUUCCGGUGAAGUUUCCAUCACUUUUUGCAUACUCUGGAACUUGAUGAGAUGACAUUGACUUCCAACUCGAUGGAACUUGACUUCCUGUUUUACUUGAUCGUUGUAAUUUUGGUUCUUGAUUUUUGCCUCUACAGUACAUCCCCAAUGUACUCAGGUUUGCUAUGAUUUUUAUUAAUAAAAUAUUGUGUUACCUAUCAAAAAAAAAAAAAGCAUGUAGAGUGAGAAGGAUUUAAGUUGCUUUUGUACGUAAUUAGUUUUUGAACUUUAGCAGAUAGUGAGUCUACAGGCUCUGCUUUGGAGGUGAUCAAAGGUGAAUGAGGCAGAACCCUUACAAGUAGACAGAAGCGCAAAGUACACCAAAUGAAUCUUAAAUAUUUUACUGCAACCGGAACUGUCUCAGUAACUGAUAUGGCUCUAAAUGAGACUCUACCUUUAAUCCCAAUUUCUUCAUCGUUUCCUUUUGUAUUGCGUUGAUAUAACUCCAGAUUGUAGCUGUCCCUUUACUUUAGCCUUUGUAAAGAAGACUUUUCACUCUUGGAUGAUCUGAAGAAGAUUUCUAAACUAUGCAAUCAGUCAAAACAUAUCUCCAGAUUGGUCCCCCUAUAAAAUUCACUAGCUUCUAGUUUUAAUGCCUUUAUCCACAUCAACCCAUCUAAGCUCUCCUUAUAAGCGGACUUGUGGUGCAACAUAAAGGCAACUCCUUGACUCAUUAACCCUGUGUUGGAUUGUAUUUGCCAUGGAAGCACCUUAUUAGUGCUGGUUCCAUGGGAACUUAAGGAAAGAAAAAGUGUUGGGUGUGAGCAAAACAUUGGUGUUGAAUCCAGACUUGAUUUAGAGGACCAUGGAUCUUUAUCAGUGGCUGUUUCAGCAGAAUUUUUGUCAAGACCAGUGGCUGACAGUCUAUCCAAAGUUUCUUGUAUGGUGAACAACUGUUCCAACUUUGCAUCCAUUGAAGUCUCCUUUUUUUUUUGGGAAAGUUUUGACCUCAAAGGGAGGGGGGAAGUAGAGAUUUCGAACCAGUGGAAGAGACCUUUUCUUUCAACUGAUUCAACCCAUCUUUUUUUGUUGAGCUGUUGACAGAAGAAAGAUUCAGCAAUGAAGUUUCAGGAUUUCAGCCUUGAUGCCAGUAUUGAUUUAGUACAACCUUUAUGUUAUUUAGUUGAGGGCUUUCUUAUGUGAUAAUAGUUAGUGGGUAAUGGGUAAUGGAUUUUAAAGGAAACUGGUUUUUGGAAAUUUUUUGGCAGCAACAAACUUAUGUGAAAAAGUUAAGGUAAAGGGUAUACAAUAAGAGAUCUGAUUUGGGUGUUCA
This is a long non-coding RNA of Quercus robur (English oak), 2302 nucleotides long. RefSeq lists it as uncharacterized. The transcript is spliced from 2 exons. Lineage: Eukaryota; Viridiplantae; Streptophyta; Magnoliopsida; Fagales; Fagaceae. The record is from RefSeq and is a predicted model, not a curated record.